RNAcentral lists this long non-coding RNA (1322 nucleotides) under Betta splendens (Siamese fighting fish). RNAcentral's name for it is "lncRNA (ENSBSLG00000013828.1)". Lineage: Eukaryota; Metazoa; Chordata; Actinopteri; Anabantiformes; Osphronemidae. The record is from RNAcentral.
GGAGAGUCGGGGUAAUAAGUGCACUACUCCCAACAACGGCCAGCCUUGGAGGGAGACCAAUAGCAAUUGUGUGUCUUUUUUUGCCUAAUGCCUGCUGUUUUUCGAAAAUCUUACUUUCUGCGAUCUGACAACAAGCCAACGAGGCAGCGAGGACAGCUUGAAACAUGCUCUAUGUAAUGAUUACAGGGCCACUUCCACAAAGGGGCUGAUUGUGCACUGUCACUGACAUAUUUCACAAGGGGCAUUUAUUGCCGCCUGGCCUUUGAAGAGUGAGAGCUGCUGAGUGAGGGGGGAAACUGGCCCACACCUGCAUAACUGAGGAGGGAACACCUGUGCACCCUGCGGCUCCAACAAGGAGGGUCGAUCCAGCUACUCCAGAGGUGAAAGCUGAUCAGAGGACAGGCCCGAAGAGUUCAGCAGCUCCCACUGCCUUGUUAGCCUUACUUUACCAAAAAAAGAAAAAAAAUUACACCUAUUGAUUUUUUGGGAGGGGGGGGGGUGCACAGUGAUUGUGAAAAGAAUAGUAGCAGGACACAAUGUGAAACAGAGGAAGUCAGCAGAGCUUUUAGCGCUCACUUCAAUUAGACAGAAUUUUAUUUUUAAUCAUCGUGAGCACUGAUAUGCCACAAGCUACCCUAUCUGUGACUGGACAACGAAAAAAGGUGGAAUAGAAAAAUGGAGCGAGCAAGUACGCUGCUUUUAAACACGUCUUCAAACAGAAGCGGGAGGAAAAGCACCUGGGAGGUGAUGAUGAGCGGAAGAGAAAACAGUCGGCGCAGAGGUCACAGGUCACCACGGGCUCCCCUGCAGCAGGUAGGGUGACACGGUGUUGCUAUGGUACGCUUUAACAGGGCCGACACCUGAUGAGUGCAUGAACCGUGGUCCUUCAGUUGCAGACCUGCUCACUACUGCAUAUUAUUGCUAAACUCUGCACAAGUGUUUAUUUUGUGCACAGUCCUACUGAACAUGCAAAUGUUUGGCAGUUUAGUUUACCGCUAGGCCGCCGUGCAGAGUGGAGGAUUUUAUAUCACACUAUUACACUCACAUCAUAAGUAGCUGAUGGUAAAGGUAAAACAUUAGCUUGGAUUGUGGAUUAUAUUGCUGCUAAAGCUGCUAAAUAUAGACAGCUCAAAUAUGGAUUUAGUCAUUAUGUAAUUUAUAUCUUUGAUAUGCUUUGGAAAAAACUUUAAUUUUAUUUUUAUGUAGCUAACAAAUACAAUGUGAGGGAUUACUGGCUUGGUCUAGUUAUGUGUGUCCUAUUAAUAGGCCUGGCUAUGACUAACAAAGUUCAGCUGUAACCGAACUCCAUCUGUCAAGUCACG